RNAcentral lists this transfer RNA (57 nucleotides) under Acanthobothrium sp. MZUSP 8033. RNAcentral's name for it is "tRNA-Tyr". Lineage: Eukaryota; Metazoa; Platyhelminthes; Cestoda; Tetraphyllidea; Onchobothriidae. The record is from RNAcentral.
UCUAAUUUAACAUAUAUAGUAAUGUGAGAGAUUGUAAAUCUUUUCAUAACAAUUCUA